AACGAACGCUGGCGGCAUGCCUAACACAUGCAAGUCGAACGAGACCUUCGGGUCUUGGGGCGCACGGGUGCGUAACGCGUGGGAACCUUCACUUAUGUUCGGACUAACUCCCCGAAAGGGGUGCUAAUACCGGAUCAUGUCUUCGGCCCAAUGAUUUAUCGCCUUUGGAUGGGCCCGCGUUGGAUUCGCUCGUUGGUAGGGUAAUAGCCUACCAAGGCGUCGAUCCAUAGCUGGUCUGAGAGGAUGAUCAGCGACACUGGGACUGAGACACGGCCCAGACUCCUACGGGAGGCGGCAGUGGGGAAUAGUGGACAAUGGGCGAAAGCAUGAUCCAGCAAGGACGCGUGAGUGAUGAAGGCAGUAGGGUUGUAAAGCGCUUUUACCCGGGAUGAUAAUGACAGUACCGGGAGAAUAAGCUCCGGCUAACUCCGUG
This 433-nucleotide ribosomal RNA is filed under the name uncultured bacterium. RNAcentral describes it as "partial 16S ribosomal RNA". It matches the Rfam family "Bacterial small subunit ribosomal RNA", at positions 29 to 507 of the family's 1533-position model. The record is from RNAcentral.